CUGGAUUCUUUUUCUGCGCCGCAGAAGCCAUUCUUUCACUUCCCGUGCACUCGCUUCUCUAGCAUACACAGCUUGUGAGGUAAGCUGUACUUUUUCGCUACACAAAGACGAAUACAUCGAUAUUUGGAAAAAAAAGAAAGCAGCAUCAUAACUGAAAAUGUCUGAGGCAUUUUAUGGUCUGACGACGUUUAGCCCUUCAGGAAAGCUGGUCCAGAUUGAGUAUGCGACGACAGCUGCCGGCAAAGGGACGACUGCGCUGGGGGUGAAGGCCACCGAUGGGGUCGUCAUUGCUGCAAAGAAGAAGGCUCCAUCUACCCUAGUGGAUGCCUCAUCGAUCCAGAAGGUCUUCGUCUUGGAUGAGCACGUUGGCUGCACCUACAGCGGCAUGGGCCCGGACUGCCGUGUUCUUAUCGACUCAGCUCGGAAGAAUUGCCAGCAGUACAGGCUGAUGUACAACGAGAGCAUUCCGAUCAGCCAGCUGGUGCGGAAGAUUAGCGCUCUCUAUCAGGAAUUUACACAGUCUGGCGGUGUUCGUCCCUUCGGAUGCUCUCUCCUGGUCGCUGGGGUGGACGCUAACGGCUACCAUUUGUAUCAGGUGGACCCUAGCGGCACGUUCUGGGCGUGGAAGGCGACGGCGAUUGGCACCGGAAGUCCGGACGCGAAGGCAUUUCUAGAAAAGCGUUACACUGUGGACAUGGAGCUGGAGGAUGCUGUACACACCGCAUUGUUGACGCUAAAGGAGGGCUUUGAUGGCCAGAUGACGUCAGAAAACACUGAGGUCGGUCGUGUUGUAGGAAACCGUUUCGAAGUCCUGAGCGUCGAUCAGCUGCGCGAUUACCUGGACCAGAUUUAGUGUGGUCAUGCAUAUAGUGCUGCGUAGCGGAAAGUAUAUAGACUUCGGCGGCGUGCAACAAAGAGCUGUGCUGUGGAAAAUGUCUUCUAUUUCAGGUAUUGUUUCUCGUC
RNAcentral lists this unclassified non-coding RNA (963 nucleotides) under Leishmania donovani. RNAcentral's name for it is "gene:LdHU3.21.2460(CDS-product:proteasome_alpha_2 _subunit_putative)". The record is from RNAcentral. Lineage: Eukaryota; Euglenozoa; Kinetoplastea; Trypanosomatida; Trypanosomatidae.